This 340-nucleotide ribosomal RNA is filed under the name uncultured bacterium. RNAcentral describes it as "partial 16S ribosomal RNA". It matches the Rfam family "Bacterial small subunit ribosomal RNA", at positions 338 to 675 of the family's 1533-position model. The record is from RNAcentral.
CCUACGGGGCGCAGCAGUGAGGAAUAUUGGUCAAUGGGCUUACGCCUGAACCAGCCAAGUCGCGUGAGGGAAGACUGCCCUAUGGGUUGUAAACCUCUUUUGUCAGGGAGCAACGCCGGCUACGUGUAGCCGUACUGAGAGUACCUGAAGAAAAAGCUUCGGCUAACUCCUUUCCAGCAGCCGCGGUAAUACGGAGGAUGCGAGCGUUAUCCGGAUUUAUUGGGUUUAAAGGGUGCGUAGGCGGAAUGCCAAGUCAUCGGUAAAAUCGCGGGGCUCAACCUCGCUCCGCCGUUGAAACUGGUGUGCUUGAGUGGGCGAGAAGGAUGCGGAAUGUGUGGUG